CCUACGGGAGGCAGCAGUGAGGAAUAUUGGUCAAUGGGCGCUAGCCUGAACCAGCCAAGUAGCGUGAAGGAUGACUGCCCUAUGGGUUGUAAACUUCUUUUAUAGGGGAAUAAAGUGCAGUAUGUAUACGGCUUUGCAUGUACCUUAUGAAUAAGGAUCGGCUAACUCCGUGCCAGCAGCCGCGGUAAUACGGAGGAUCCGAGCGUUAUCCGGAUUUAUUGGGUUUAAAGGGAGCGUAGGCGGGUUGUUACGUCAGUGGUUAAAGUUUGCGGCUCAACCGUAAAAUUGCAGUGGAUACUGGCAUCCUUGAGUACAGUAGCGGUAGGCGGAAUUCGUGGUGUAGCGGU
Molecule: ribosomal RNA, 347 nt
Filed under: uncultured bacterium
Lineage: Bacteria
Description: partial 16S ribosomal RNA
Rfam family: Bacterial small subunit ribosomal RNA
Source: RNAcentral